Molecule: ribosomal RNA, 253 nt
Filed under: uncultured bacterium
Lineage: Bacteria
Description: partial 16S ribosomal RNA
Rfam family: Bacterial small subunit ribosomal RNA
Source: RNAcentral
UACGUAGGGGGCGAGCGUUGUUCGGAAUUAUUGGGCGUAAAGCGCGUGUAGGCGGUUCGGUAAGGCGGGUGUGAAACCCCAGGGCUCAACCCUGGGCCGGCAUCCGCGACUGCCGGGCUGGAGUGCGGGAGGGGAGAGCGGAAUUCCUGGUGUAGCGGUGAAAUGCGUAGAUAUCAGGAGGAACACCGGUGGCGAAGGCGGCUCUCUGGACCGUAACUGACGCUGAGACGCGAAAGCUAGGGGAGCAAACAGG